ACAGGGAUUGCCUCAGUAACGGCGAGUGAAGCGGCAACAGCUCAAAUUUGAAAUCUGGCUCUUUCAGGGUCCGAGUUGUAAUUUGUAGAAGAUGCUUCGAGUGUUAGCCUGGUCUAAGUUCCUUGGAACAGGACGUCAUAGAGGGUGAGAAUCCCGUAUGUGACUAGUGCUCUCGCUCAUGUGAAGCUCUUUCGACGAGUCGAGUUGUUUGGGAAUGCAGCUCAAAAUGGGUGGUAAAUUUCAUCUAAAGCUAAAUAUUGGCCAGAGACCGAUAGCGCACAAGUAGAGUGAUCGAAAGAUGAAAAGCACUUUGGAAAGAGAGUUAAACAGUACGUGAAAUUGUUGAAAGGGAAGCGCUUGCAACUAGACUUGCAUGCCGUCGAUCAUCCGAGGUUUUCCCCGGUGCACUCGGCGGUGUUCAGGCCAGCAUCGGUUUGGGUGGUUGGAUAAAGGCCUUGGGAAUGUAGCUUCUUUCGGGGAGUGUUAUAGCCCUCGGUGCAAUGCAGCCUACCUGGACCGAGGACCGCGCUUCGGCUAGGAUGCUGGCGUAAUGGUUGUAAGCGACCCGUCUUGAAACACGGACCAAGGAGUCUAACAUCUAUGCGAGUGUUUGGGUGUCAAACCCAUACGCGUAAUGAAAGUGAACGGAGGUGAGAACCCUUAAGGGUGCAUCAUCGACCGAUCCUGAUGUCUUCGGAUGGAUUUGAGUAAGAGCAUAGCUGUUGGGACCCGAAAGAUGGUGAACUAUGCCUGAAUAGGGUGAAGCCAGAGGAAACUCUGGUGGAGGCUCGCAGCGGUUCUGACGUGCAAAUCGAUCGUCAAAUUUGGGUAUAGGGGCGAAAGACUAAUCGAACC
Molecule: ribosomal RNA, 855 nt
Filed under: Haplographium delicatum
Lineage: Eukaryota; Fungi; Ascomycota; Leotiomycetes; Helotiales; Hyaloscyphaceae
Description: eukaryotic LSU rRNA
Rfam family: Eukaryotic large subunit ribosomal RNA
Source: RNAcentral